CGGCGAUUAGCCACUACGAAGGGCAGCUCGGCAACUACGCAGGUAGAAAGUUUAUGCUUCAAAUUUGCCCUGACCAGGACAAGAGGGUCACUAAUCAAGUCAACUCCAGUACUUAGCUCUUUAACCUGUGAAAUCUGUAUGAUCCAUGGUUUGGUUACAUGCACGGUACUAAUCUGUCUAUCUAUGAUCUUCAUCUCAUAGCGAUGCUCUAACUUGUUCGAUCUCCAGGCAUUGCUAGUCCAAAGUUGAUUAUCAGUAUGUGUGCACAAUCCAUCAUCAGGUCAGGCAGGAGGUGAAAUCUUCACAAGAUAAUCUAGACCUAUAUGUUUUCUCAGCUUGUGGCAGUGUUGGGGAAAUGGUUUGGGUAUUGCCGCCUGGUACAACCUUUUCUUUUUCUUCUGUACUCCCCCCUUCCAAGUAUUUUCACUUUUGGCAACCUAAGAAAUAAACCACCGGGGAGAAAACUGGGAUUAAGCAAGUAGUGCUGGUCUGUGCGGUGCGCCGGUGCCUAAAUGCCCACUGGUUGCCGUACGUACGGCUUAGGUUUCCUGAAAAUUGAGAGAAUAAAAAGGUCCAGUGCUUUGCGUCUGCUCUGAAUUACCCAUUAUAGUCUGUCUAACUCAGCAAGUCAGCAGGAUUCUCCUUUCGGAUAGUUUAUUAUCUGCAUAUUGCGUAUUGUUUUCUUGCUUGUGUGUAAACAUCUUCCCUUAUUAAUAUGAGGUUACAUCUUUUGCUUGAGUCAGCACG
This 747-nucleotide long non-coding RNA is filed under the name Triticum aestivum (bread wheat). RNAcentral's name for it is "long non-coding RNA (TAES_LNC021622)". Lineage: Eukaryota; Viridiplantae; Streptophyta; Magnoliopsida; Poales; Poaceae. The record is from RNAcentral.